Molecule: long non-coding RNA, 1151 nt
Filed under: Heterocephalus glaber (naked mole-rat)
Lineage: Eukaryota; Metazoa; Chordata; Mammalia; Rodentia; Bathyergidae
Description: lncRNA (ENSHGLG00100036336.1)
Source: RNAcentral
GACCCCGCGUGCGCUGUGCGCUGCGCCUUUAAGUCCGGGCGAGGAGCGCGGCGGCCAGGCCCGCGCGGGACGUCGCCCCCGGUGGAGCGGGGCCGCGCGUGGGUCCCCUGUCGCCCGCCCCUCGGACCCGGGCUGGGGGACGCGGUUCGGGAGAGCGAGGCAGCGCGGGGAGGACAGCCGCCGGGGGCCGGGUGAGGACAGGUGGAGCACGGAGGCGACCGAGCAGCAGGGCGGGGUGGCCAAGCCGCACGCGGCUGUGGCGCGGAGCGGGCUCGACGCGGUGGCUGAGUGGGUCACCCGCGGUGUCCCUCCGGGACCGGCGGGGACCUGAGGAGGGGCGGCCCGGGGAGGGGGCACGCAGGGCCGCGCAGCGGGGCCUCGGUGAGCUGCGGGAGGGCGCGCGCGCGCGCGCGCGCUCGGGUUCCGCCGGCAUCUGGCGCGGGAUCGGGGCCUCCGCGCACCCGCCGCGCGCUCCCCACGCACACACGCCCUUCCUGCCGCGCCGCUGCCACCAUCGAGCAGGCGAACCCCGCGGAGCGGAACCGGGCGGAGCGGACCGGAGAGGCUCCAGAGAUGCGGGACCUGAGCGGGGGCGCGCGCAGACGGCGCGCCCGGGACGCUUCCUGCACCCCCAGGCCCUAAGGUGACUCCGGCCCAGCUGCACUCAGUCAACCCCUAGCUGGAGGCAGGUGGAGCCCAGACCCGGGAGUGUGACUGUGACCUUGGUGACCUUGGCUUUGUAUGAAGAGCAGAUGACUAUGUGGCCUGUAUCAUGAGGAGCAAGCCUCCUGGAAUAUGGGAGGUGAUGGGCCUUCCCACUCCAUGUCCUAUGGGAAGGGAUCUGGGAAUCUUGCUAUGUAAUUCAGGCUGGCCUUGAACUCACUGUGCAGCCCAGGCUGGCCUUGAGCUCAUGGUAGUCCUCCUGCCUCAGCCUUCUGAGUAUUGGAAUUACAUGUGUGCACCACCAUGCCUGCUCUGUCUCUGCUCUUUUUUAUGGCACUGGGGAUCGAACUCAGGACCUUGCGCUUGUGAGGCAGGUGGCAGAACCACUGAGCUAAAUCCCCAGCCCUCUGUCUCUGUUCUUGACAGGCAAAGGUUACAGAGAGAAUGGGGAGGGCUUGGCGUGGCAGUGGGACUUCGUGUCAUCCUCA